UUGAAAAAACACUUUUAUUAGAAAUGUUUUUCCUGAAAUUCUUCAUCUUACCUUUAAUGCUCUCUGUCACAGUGGGUGCAAAAGACCCAAUCCUUCUCCAGUCUCCGAGCCUGAAAUGUGUCACCAAGGGUCACACUGCCCGGUUACAGUGUACCAUGAAGAAUGCCACAGUGAAAGACACAGAAGUUCAUUGGUAUCUGGAACAACCAGGGAAUAACACGAAGUGGGUUUUAACACAGGACACGAGGAACAUCACACAACAGAGCUCAGGAUUCACUAAGCGAUUCCAGUCUUCCAGAGACACCUACAGUAACAGCUUCAUUCUAACCAUCACAAACAUGCAGCCCAGUGACAGCGGGAACUAUUUCUGUGAAAUAUGGGGAGAUAUCAGUGGGACAGGAACCCAGCUGACUGUAACAGCCUUUCAGGACUAA
Molecule: non-coding RNA, 434 nt
Organism: Hemiscyllium ocellatum (epaulette shark)
Lineage: Eukaryota; Metazoa; Chordata; Chondrichthyes; Orectolobiformes; Hemiscylliidae
Source: the annotation of a RefSeq genome assembly